This 253-nucleotide ribosomal RNA is filed under the name uncultured bacterium. RNAcentral describes it as "partial 16S ribosomal RNA". It matches the Rfam family "Bacterial small subunit ribosomal RNA", at positions 524 to 776 of the family's 1533-position model. The record is from RNAcentral.
UACGUAGGGUGCAAGCGUUAAUUGGAAUUACUGGGCGUAAAGCGUGCGCAGGCGGUAAUGUAAGACAGAUGUGAAAUCCCCGGGCUUAACCUGGGAACUGCAUUUGAGACUGCAUUGCUGGAGUGCGGCAGAGGGGGGUGGAAUUCCGCGUGUAGAAGUGAAAUGCGUAGAUAUGCGGAGGAACACCGAUGGCGAAGGCAGUCCCCUGGGCCUGCACUGACGCUCAUGCACGAAAGCGUGGGGAGCAAACAGG